AUUGCUUCUCAGCCUUUUGGCUUAGAUCAAGUGUAGUAUUUGUUCUUAUCAGUUUAACAUUGGGAAACAUACACCCCACUGUGAGAACAAGAACCACGUGAUUGAGGCCAUGGGCCGGGAGGCAUGCAUUUUGAAGCCCAAGCUUUUUUGUGCCCUAGGAUCGAGUCUCCUGGGGUGCCUGAAACAGUGC
Molecule: non-coding RNA, 190 nt
Organism: Xenopus laevis (African clawed frog)
Lineage: Eukaryota; Metazoa; Chordata; Amphibia; Anura; Pipidae
Source: Rfam